UGAGGAAUAUUGGUCAAUGGGCGGAAGCCUGAACCAGCCAAGUAGCGUGAGGGAUGACUGCCCUAUGGGUUGUAAACCUCUUUUAUAAGGGAAUAAAAUACGGGACGUGUCCUGUUUUGCAUGUACCUUAUGAAUAAGGACCGGCUAAUUCCGUGCCAGCAGCCGCGGUAAUACGGAAGGUCCGGGCGUUAUCCGGAUUUAUUGGGUUUAAAGGGAGCGCAGGCGGUCUUAUAAGCGUGACGUGAAAUGCAGCGGCUCAACCGUAUGAUGUGCGUCGCGAACUGUGAGACUUGAGUGUAUUCGAUGUCAGCGGUAAUU
This 318-nucleotide ribosomal RNA is filed under the name uncultured Prevotella sp. RNAcentral's name for it is "bacterial SSU rRNA". It matches the Rfam family "Bacterial small subunit ribosomal RNA", at positions 355 to 669 of the family's 1533-position model. The record is from RNAcentral. Lineage: Bacteria; Pseudomonadati; Bacteroidota; Bacteroidia; Bacteroidales; Prevotellaceae.